Molecule: ribosomal RNA, 443 nt
Filed under: uncultured bacterium
Lineage: Bacteria
Description: partial 16S ribosomal RNA
Rfam family: Bacterial small subunit ribosomal RNA
Source: RNAcentral
CCUACGGGAGGCAGCAGUGGGGAAUAUUGGACAAUGGGGGGAACCCUGAUCCAGCGACGCCGCGUGAGUGAAGAAGUAUUUCGGUAUGUAAAGCUCUAUCAGCAGGGAAGAAAGAAAUGACGGUACCUGACUAAGAAGCCCCGGCUAACUACGUGCCAGCAGCCGCGGUAAUACGUAGGGGGCAAGCGUUAUACGGAUUUACUGGGUGUAAAGGGAGCGUAGACGGCGAUGCAAGUCUGAAGUGACAGGCGGGGGGCCAACCCCCGGACUGCUUUGGAAACUGUAUUGCUGGAGUGCAGGAGAGGUAAGUGGAAUUCCUAGUGUAGCGGUGAACUGCGUAGAUAUUAGGAGGAACACCAGUGGCGAAGGCGGCUUACUGGACUGUAACUGACGUUGAGGCUCGAAAGCGUGGGGAGCAAACAGGAUUAGAUACCCGAGUAGUC